This 274-nucleotide ribosomal RNA is filed under the name uncultured bacterium. RNAcentral's name for it is "partial 16S ribosomal RNA". It matches the Rfam family "Bacterial small subunit ribosomal RNA", at positions 523 to 796 of the family's 1533-position model. The record is from RNAcentral.
AUACGGAGGGUGCAAGUGUUAUUCGGAAUCACUGGGCGUAAAGGACGCGUAGGCGGGUUGGCAAGUCAGAUGUGAAAUCCUACAGCUUAACUGUAGAACUGCAUUUGAAACUGCUAACCUAGAGUAUGGGAGGGGGAGAUGGAAUUAGUGGUGUAGGGGUAAAAUCCGUAGAUAUCACUAGGAAUACCGAAAGCGAAGGCGAUCUCCUGGAACAUAACUGACGCUAAGGCGUGAAAGCGUGGGGAGCAACCAGGAUUAGAUACCCUAGUAGUCC